Molecule: RNA transcript, 2531 nt
Organism: Tribolium castaneum (red flour beetle)
Lineage: Eukaryota; Metazoa; Arthropoda; Insecta; Coleoptera; Tenebrionidae
Exons: 2
Source: RefSeq, a predicted model, not a curated record
UUUUCGGUCCAACAAACGGUCGUAUGCAACCCACAUUUUCCGAUUAGGAAAUGUCAAAGUCAAAUGUUAUGUCAACAACACUGUCAAAGUUAUUUGUUUAUAUUGGUUAUAAAGACCCCAAAAUAAUAAUAAUUAGCGUAACUGAGAUGUGGUAUAAUAAAAAGUGUGUGGAUUCUCGCAAUGGAUAAAGUGAGGAUCACAAAAUUCGAGCCUGGAACGGCAUAUUCUACCAAAGAACAAACGAUCAUUUUGAACGUGUUUAAAUACCUUUGUGCCCAAAAUCUGGACAAAACGGCUAGUGAAAUUGCGGAACUCACUUCUAAAGCUACAGGGUGCAGUGUUGAAAAUGUUGUGCAAUUUCGUGAGGAGGAAGCUAUGAGACACGGUUUCAGAGCGUGUACUAGUGGCAGAAAUGUGGGGUAUUGGUAUGACGAAACAGUGAAAGAAGCCAUAAGAAAAAUUAUUUUUGUACUGAAAACCAAAAAUAAUCAUAGAAUUUCAGCAAAGAUGAUUUUAAAAUUACUAGAAGUAAAUCCGUAUUUCCCAAAGCUUUCUUUAAACGCUUUGAAAAUUGCACUGGCGGAUAUGGGUUAUGUGCAUGAUGGUUCUGUGUAUGUGCACAGUGAUGAUCUGCCAACACCUGGUCGUGUAAAACGGAAGCGAGUUAACCGUAUUAAGCCUCAAAUUGAAUCAGAAAGUGACGAUAACACGAAAACUGACGGUAUGGAAAAUGGGGCUGUGGAUGAGAACAGUGCAACAUCUCCUGUAUUGAAAAAGAAACGGCGGUCGAAACGGGUUGAACGUAUCUAUCCUCAAACUGAAGCACAAAAUGAUAAUAAUAAAAUUGAAAUUAUGGAAAAUGUUCCAAAUGAGACGGUUGGAGGUUUUGUGCAUGUGGACAGUGGUGAUCCGCUUGCAGUAUCUCCUCCUGUGGUAAAAAAGAAACGGCGGUCGAAGCGGCUUGAACGUAUUUAUUCUCAAAUUGAAUCACAAAGUGCCAGUACGGAAAAUGGUAUAGACGUUCCAAAUGAGACUGAUACACCAUUAGAAAGUGAAAUAAAGAUUGAAGAAUCAAUCUUGGACGAAAACUGUAUUUAUGAAACUGAAGACGUGGCUAUAAAGACAGAAUUAGAAAUUAAAACUGAAGAUUCCCCCAGAGAGAGUUGAGUGUUUUGAUAGGUUUUUACAGUCAAUUUCAAAAUUGUAUGUAAAUUAUAGAUUUGUUAUGAUAUUUUGUAAUGUUUUAUACAGAAAUAAACACAAAUAUUGAUGAUUUGUCUUUUUAUUUGAUAUUUCGUAAAUUUUUCUUCGUUAUGCAACCAAGUAUACAACUGUCGAAUUCGGACGGAUUAAGUUUCGGGUUGUUGGACUUUCCGAAUUUGAAACUAACACAUGUUGUCAACCGGUUUGUUCAUCACAACAAUCUAAAGAAAAAUGUGUAAAAUUCAAACCGUGUGUUUAUUAUUAUUGCCUUUUAAUUAAUAACAUGUGGAUUGUUCUUCUGAAUACGUGAUAGUGCGUGAAAAUGGCCCAACUCGAGAUCAAGAAAAUGAAACAGGGAAUGUCCUACUCCUGCAAAGAAAAGACAAUCAUUUUAAACGUGUUCAAAUAUUUCCGAAUCCAAUUCCCCGAUAAAUGUGUCACGGACAUCGUCCGCCGCACCGCAAAAGCCACCGGAUGUAGCGAAAAAAGCAUCUUCCAAUUCCGCAAAGAGGAGGCAAGUGCCGAGGGUUUCAAAGUGCCAUCAACCACAAAAAUCAGGCGAAACAUCAACAUAAACAGCCGAGACAUCAAAUACGACAACACGGUCCGACAAGCUAUCAGAAACAUAAUCUACGAAUUAAAAUACAAAAAUGUAGUGCCAUCACUUAACACGAUUUUGAAACACGUGAAUGGGGACCCCCAGUUACCGAACUUUUCGUUAAUGACGCUGCGAAGACUGCUGUUUGAUAUGGGGUUCUGUUACGAGAAAAACGGGAACAAGGCGGUGCUAGUUGAGAAAACACCGCCAGUCAAGAAGGACCCAAAGAAGGAGAAUUUGGGCAACAAUAAGGCCAAAAAAAUUGUGAAACCACCGCAACAGUACUGCCAGCCAGUUAACCCAAUACCUCAGAACCCGCCCCCGCAACCGCCCCCAAUCAACAACCACAUAAUGAUCCAAAUGCCCCAACAUGAUAAUCACAUGAUGCACCUACCGCACCAUAACAUGCCCAUGAUGCUCAACCACAGAAUGCCGCCCCCACACCCAAUGCCGCCCCCGAAUGUCAACUGGAUGCACCCAACCCACCAUGCCAUGAUGAAACAGGAGUAGGAAAAAUCAGGUCAAGAACAGUCUUAUAAAUAUUAAUGUCUCUGUGAUCAUCAAUGGUCUGAAGAAGUAUGUCUAGAGCUAUCAACGUCCCAGUCCUACCAACGCCAGCGCUGUGAACAUAAGUAUUAUUUUUAAUUCAUUUUAGCCCUUCUUAGUGCCAAAACUGGAGUUAUUCCGGUAUUUUUAUACAAUUUUUUACACAAUAAAACUUUCAUAAUUA